GACGAACGCUGGCGGCGUGCUUAACACAUGCAAGUCGAACGGAAAGGCCCUGCUUGCAGGGUACUCGAGUGGCGAACGGGUGAGUAACACGUGGGUGAUCUGCCCUGCACUUCGGGAUAAGCCUGGGAAACUGGGUCUAAUACCGGAUAUGACCUUCCAUGUAGUGUGGGGGGUGGAAAGAUUUAUCGGUGUGGGAUGAGCCCGCGGCCUAUCAGCUUGUUGGUGGGGUAAUGGCCUACCAAGGCGUCGACGGGUAGCCGGCCUGAGAGGGUGGACGGCCACAUUGGGACUGAGAUACGGCCCAGACUCCUAGGGGAGGCAGCAGUGGGGAAUAUUGCACAAUGGGCGGAAGCCUGAUGCAGCGACGCCGCGUGGGGGAUGACGGCCUUCGGGUUGUAAACCUCUUUCGACAGGGACGAAGCUUCGGUGACGGUACCUGUAGAAGAAGCACCGGCUAACUACGUG
RNAcentral lists this ribosomal RNA (465 nucleotides) under uncultured bacterium. Its description in RNAcentral is "partial 16S ribosomal RNA". It matches the Rfam family "Bacterial small subunit ribosomal RNA", at positions 28 to 507 of the family's 1533-position model. The record is from RNAcentral.